This 1101-nucleotide ribosomal RNA is filed under the name Ophiosimulans tanaceti. RNAcentral's name for it is "SSU rRNA". It matches the Rfam family "Eukaryotic small subunit ribosomal RNA", at positions 1 to 1128 of the family's 1831-position model. The record is from RNAcentral. Lineage: Eukaryota; Fungi; Ascomycota; Dothideomycetes; Pleosporales; Phaeosphaeriaceae.
UGGAGGAGUCACAAAUAGUGUCUCAAAGAUUAAGCCCAUGCAUGUCUAAGUAUAAGCAAUUAUACCGUGAACUGCGAAUGCUCAUUAAAUCAGUAUCGUUUAUUUGAUAGUACCUUACUACUUGGAUAACCCGUGGUAAUUCUAGAGCUAAUACAUGCUGAAAACCCCAACUUCGGGAGGGGUGUAUUUAUUAGAUAAAAAACCAACGCCCUUCGGGGCUUCUUGGUGAUUCAUGAUAACUUAACGGAUCGCAUGGCCCUGCGCCGGCGACGGGUUCAUUCAAAUUUCUGCCCUAUCAACUUUCGAUGGUAAGGUAUUGGCUUACCAUGGUUUCAACGGGUAACGGGGAAUUAGGGUUCGAUUCCGGAGAGGGAGCGUGAGAAACGGCUACCACAUCCAAGGAAGGCAGCAGGCGCGCAAAUUACCCAAUCCCGACACGGGGAGGUAGUGACAAUAAAUACUGAUACAGGGCUCUUUUGGGUCUUGUAAUUGGAAUGAGUACAAUUUAAACCUCUUAACGAGGAACAAUUGGAGGGCAAGUCUGGUGCCAGCAGCCGCGGUAAUUCCAGCUCCAAUAGCGUAUAUUAAAGUUGUUGCAGUUAAAAAGCUCGUAGUUGAACCUUGGGUCUGGCUGGCAGGUCCGCCUCACCGCGUGUACUUGUCCGGCCGGGCCUUCCUUCUGGAGAACCUCAUGCCCUUCACUGGGCGUGUUGGGGACCAGGACUUUUACUUUGAAAAAAUUAGAGUGUUCAAAGCAGGCCUUUGCUCGAAUACGUUAGCAUGGAAUAAUAAAAUAGGACGUGCGGUCCUAUUUUGUUGGUUUCUAGGACCGCCGUAAUGAUUAAUAGGGACAGUCGGGGGCAUCAGUAUUCAAUUGUCAGAGGUGAAAUUCUUGGAUUUAUUGAAGACUAACUACUGCGAAAGCAUUUGCCAAGGAUGUUUUCAUUAAUCAGUGAACGAAAGUUAGGGGAUCGAAGACGAUCAGAUACCGUCGUAGUCUUAACCGUAAACUAUGCCGACUAGGGAUCGGGCGAUGUUCUUUUUCUGACUCGCUCGGCACCUUACGAGAAAUCAAAGUUUUUGGGUCUGGGGAGAGCCCCG